RNAcentral lists this ribosomal RNA (1463 nucleotides) under uncultured Klebsiella sp. Its description in RNAcentral is "bacterial SSU rRNA". It matches the Rfam family "Bacterial small subunit ribosomal RNA". The record is from RNAcentral. Lineage: Bacteria; Pseudomonadati; Pseudomonadota; Gammaproteobacteria; Enterobacterales; Enterobacteriaceae.
AUUGAACGCUGGCGGCAGGCCUAACACAUGCAAGUCGAGCGGUAGCACAGAGAGCUUGCUCUCGGGUGACGAGCGGCGGACGGGUGAGUAAUGUCUGGGAAACUGCCUGAUGGAGGGGGAUAACUACUGGAAACGGCAGCUAAUACCGCAUAAUGUCGCAAGACCAAAGUGGGGGACCUUCGGGCCUCAUGCCAUCAGAUGUGCCCAGAUGGGAUUAGCUAGUAGGUGGGGUAACGGCUCACCUAGGCGACGAUCCCUAGCUGGUCUGAGAGGAUGACCAGCCACACUGGAACUGAGACACGGUCCAGACUCCUACGGGAGGCAGCAGUGGGGAAUAUUGCACAAUGGGCGCAAGCCUGAUGCAGCCAUGCCGCGUGUGUGAAGAAGGCCUUCGGGUUGUAAAGCACUUUCAGCGGGGAGGAAGGCGUUAAGGUUAAUAACCUUGGCGAUUGACGUUACCCGCAGAAGAAGCACCGGCUAACUCCGUGCCAGCAGCCGCGGUAAUACGGAGGGUGCAAGCGUUAAUCGGAAUUACUGGGCGUAAAGCGCACGCAGGCGGUCUGUCAAGUCGGAUGUGAAAUCCCCGGGCUCAACCUGGGAACUGCAUUCGAAACUGGCAGGCUAGAGUCUUGUAGAGGGGGGUAGAAUUCCAGGUGUAGCGGUGAAAUGCGUAGAGAUCUGGAGGAAUACCGGUGGCGAAGGCGGCCCCCUGGACAAAGACUGACGCUCAGGUGCGAAAGCGUGGGGAGCAAACAGGAUUAGAUACCCUGGUAGUCCACGCCGUAAACGAUGUCGAUUUGGAGGUUGUGCCCUUGAGGCGUGGCUUCCGGAGCUAACGCGUUAAAUCGACCGCCUGGGGAGUACGGCCGCAAGGUUAAAACUCAAAUGAAUUGACGGGGGCCCGCACAAGCGGUGGAGCAUGUGGUUUAAUUCGAUGCAACGCGAAGAACCUUACCUGGUCUUGACAUCCACAGAACUUUCCAGAGAUGGAUUGGUGCCUUCGGGAACUGUGAGACAGGUGCUGCAUGGCUGUCGUCAGCUCGUGUUGUGAAAUGUUGGGUUAAGUCCCGCAACGAGCGCAACCCUUAUCCUUUGUUGCCAGCGGUUAGGCCGGGAACUCAAAGGAGACUGCCAGUGAUAAACUGGAGGAAGGUGGGGAUGACGUCAAGUCAUCAUGGCCCUUACGACCAGGGCUACACACGUGCUACAAUGGCAUAUACAAAGAGAAGCGACCUCGCGAGAGCAAGCGGACCUCAUAAAGUAUGUCGUAGUCCGGAUUGGAGUCUGCAACUCGACUCCAUGAAGUCGGAAUCGCUAGUAAUCGUAGAUCAGAAUGCUACGGUGAAUACGUUCCCGGGCCUUGUACACACCGCCCGUCACACCAUGGGAGUGGGUUGCAAAAGAAGUAGGUAGCUUAACCUUCGGGAGGGCGCUUACCACUUUGUGAUUCAUGACUGGGGUGA